This 303-nucleotide unclassified non-coding RNA is filed under the name Hevea brasiliensis (rubber tree). The record is from RNAcentral. Lineage: Eukaryota; Viridiplantae; Streptophyta; Magnoliopsida; Malpighiales; Euphorbiaceae.
GCUUUGCAGGACAAUAAAUUUGUUAUGCUAAAAGGGGAGAAAAACAAUAAAUCUUGUAUGCAAAUAUGAUGAUAAUUGAUAAUGUUUGCAUUCUAUGGUCUGAUAUUCUUCUCAUCAAAGCCAUGAAGCACAUCUAAUUCUGUUUUGUGAAAGCUUGGAUGUAAAUAUGGUAUGACUAAAGGAGUAAAUUAUCAAAACCAGAGAUUACUUGAGCAUUGCAGUUAAAAAUUUUAAUGUCUACCAACUCACAACUUCUGGUGUAUUCUCUUAUAAAUGUAUAGGUUUGGAACAUGGUGACCAAUG